RNAcentral lists this unclassified non-coding RNA (260 nucleotides) under plant metagenome. Its description in RNAcentral is "partial contains small subunit ribosomal RNA, internal transcribed spacer 1, and 5.8S ribosomal RNA". The stretch from base 1 to 53 matches the Rfam family "Eukaryotic small subunit ribosomal RNA", at positions 1778 to 1831 of the family's 1831-position model. The record is from RNAcentral.
GGAAGUAAAAUCGUAACAAGGUUUCCGUAGGUGAACCUGCGGAAGGAUCAUUAUCGAGUUAGGGUCUCUGGCCCGACCUCCAACCCUGUGUCUACUAUACCAUGUUGCUUUGGCGGGCCCGCGUUCGUCGCCGCCGAGGGGUUGACCCCCCUGGGCCAGUGCCCGCCGAUAGCCCCCUCUUAAACUCUUGAUCAACCGUGAAUGUCUGAGUAAAAAAAGAAUCAAGCACAAAACUUUCAACAACGGAUCUCUUGGUUCUG